This is a long non-coding RNA of Lineus longissimus, 3143 nucleotides long. RefSeq lists it as uncharacterized. The transcript has 4 exons. NCBI's taxonomy places the organism in Eukaryota, Metazoa, Nemertea, Pilidiophora, Heteronemertea, Lineidae. The record is from RefSeq and is a predicted model, not a curated record.
CGUAAAAAUCGCUGUUUUUUUCUAAAAAGGUGUUUUUGUGGUCAUUUUGGCUGUUUAUUUCGAGGGUACGGUAGGAGGUCAUCGUUCACUCGAUAACUCUUUUUAAAAUGAAAUAAAAGCGUUUUAAGAUACAUGAUAUGAAUUGAUAUUAAUAUUCGUUAAGUGGGAUUGUCGGUGGACGUUCAUUGUUGAACAGUUGUGCUGGAAUUACGAAAAUAUAUCGAUAUCGUUGAGAGUUCAUUCAUUAGGGGCCUGUUCUCAAUUUUCCUUACAACGCCUCUAGCACUGGGCAAUUGCCACCAUCUUGAAAAGCAGUGCCGCGGAUGGCUAUCGCAUCGCCACUACGCAUGAGAACACGAUGGCUGCCCUGCGCUGCAUUGAUAGUUCGUAAUAAAUUCACAUAAAAACACACCAGAAGAUCUCCGAUUUUAUUUACAAAGAUCAUAUUUUGUUAUUUAUUGAUAAAACAAGCCAUUUUACCACAGCAGGUGACACAUAUUAGGCCUGAAUAAGACUUUAGAAUUUGAAGUGGUGGUGACGAUGCCGAUAUCCAAGAUGGCGGAAUUAUACCAGUGGUCAAAUCUCAUCUAUUUUGGGUAAUUGCAUCAUUAUUUCUUUUUGUGAUUGGUGAUUUGUAAAAUUGAGAAUGAUUGAAAAAUCAGUAUUUUUUCACCCAAAGGCAUGAGUGAACAUUUGAUAAGUUUAUUGUGAUUUAAUUGGUAAUUUGGUCGACAUUUUGACAAUUAUAUUUAGCAAUAUUUCGAUAAAUGCGGACCUGCUUCUUCCUCUUUUCGUAGUGGCGGUGUUUCGAUAACUCAGGUCAGUUUCACGGCAAAAAUAAGUGGUAGUUUUGAAAUUCGAAUGUGCAUUUAUUGAUGUAACGAUAAAGUACAUUUCCGAGAAUAAUUAGUGAAAGUUUCAGUAGGUGUCGAUUUUUGUAAAGUAGUGUAUAGGCGAUGGAUUGGCUCAGCCAUGUGCUCGUCGUGUCAGCGGGGCGCAAGCCGUCAUGGGGGAUGUAGGCUACACUACAAUGCACGUGAUUGAUGGUUGAACAUUCACUCUCGUUGACAGUGUAUUAUUGAAAUAUUUGAUUGUGAUGAUGGUGUAUUGUACUAGGCCUUGCAUGCUCCCAACGUGUGGCAUAUUUCACAUUGAUACUACCAGUAUCAAUUACAAAAAAAUAGAUUGUGAGUAACAAUAGGCCUACAAUACAAUCAAUGCUACAUGUCAUGAGGGUGGGAACGGGGAAGGGGGCGGGGUAACUGUCUCGACGUCCCGUUAGGAAAAAAGGCUUAUCCCGUUUCCCAAUAUGCAAUUUUAGCCGAAUCGUGACGCAAAACACGGCUUGUCUCGAAUCCCGCUAAAAUAAGGGUGUCUAUCCCGAAUCCCGACAGUUAUUUUCGGCCCAUCCCAGUGUCCCGAAAAUACCCGUUCUCCCCCUCAUAAAUAGUAGACCAUAUUGUCACAUUGAUGUUUUCUUUCAUUACAGUUAGACUUCGAGAUCUACAUUUUCGACAAAGGCCUGGUGUAUAAAUAUUACGUACUUGAUGAAGGUUUAAUGACACGAAUGAGUACAAGUACAUUACAUAUUUUCGACGAAGGCCUUCUGUAAUUUCAUACGCUUCUUACGCAACAUUCAAUAGAUUUAUUUACUGUAUUAUCAUUUCGACCAAGGCGAAUUCGACACUUCAAUUACACAAGCACAAUCAAACUUAGUCAUUCCAGUCAGUUACUGAAGCACAGCGAAAACUGUCUGAAUUAGUGCUGCUGAUGGCAUGUAAUUACUCUACUACCACUACCAGUGACAGUCAAUGUCCAUAUAUUUUCAAGUGUGCGAAAUUAGUACUCGUCUACUUCUUAGUGUUAUUUGAAUGCAAUGUAUGUUAUAAAAAUAUUUUUUCAACACUAUAUCAACAUUCUCAUUCCUGUCAGUUUCUGAAAAUCAGCUAAAGCAAUCGCUACCAAUGCAGCUGAUAACAGCAAUUCUUUUUGUUCCCAAUGCCCAUCCAUGACAAUAUAUUUCACCCAUGUGACAAUCAUGUAAUCAUCCUGUUUUUUGUGUUCUAUUCAUGCAAUAAAUAAAUUCAGUAUUUUCAAAUCAUUGGUGCUACAAAACUAUUCUCAUUAUAGAUUAUUCAUAUUUUAUAAAAUGCUGUCAUGUCAAAUUUUGUGUCCUAUAAAUCAUUAUGAAGUCGGCAUUUUAUAUACAACUUUUGUACUCCUCCUAAAUAAACAUACAAAUCUUGUUUUAUGUAAACUUUGUAUAUGUGACCCGUCACAGCAAAACCAGACGCAUGUCGCUCUGAGCUUGGCAGGUUGAGACGGACUGUUUGUUCAUUUAUCUAUUGUCUGCCUUUUGUAAAAUAUGAGCACAUCAAUUUCUUCCAUUAUCUCCUGGUGUCAUUUAGGCUCAUCUUCUGUGCGACAUGUACCUGGUUUUGCUGUGACGGGUCACAUAUUCUAUAGAUAUACAACACUCUAAUGUCACAAUGCCUCUCUCACUCGCUUUUAUAUAGCAAGAUGUAUGAAUAAACAUGACACACCAACUAUGUACAAAAUUGCUAACAAACUGCACCAUUUGUCAGUACACCACAUGAAAUACAGAGAUAUGUCUUAAUUCUAAUCUUUCAUUAGCGACACCAUUUCUUACCCGAGUGCCUCCUUCAUUCAUACAUCUUGUACUUUAACUCAAGAUACCCAUCUUUGAAUAUUUUUAGUAUACCAAGUACUACAAUGUCAAUGUAUUGAAGUCAUGUUCUUGUAGUGUUAUUGGCUUUCUAUUAUCUUGUCAAAAUACCACUUGGUUCUCGCAAAAUCUCAAUAAAAACAAAAGCUAUUGCAUGUAUUGCAUAUUCUAACAGCUAUCCACUGUAUCGAUUUAUCCAUCAUCUGUACUAUUUGUCACAAAAAUGUUAUAUUAUGUAAAUCAUAUUUCAUUACAUAAUGCACACUGCCAAUUACUGCUGAACCAUUCAUAUGUCAUUUAAAUAAAUAAUUUUCAACUUUUUAAAACCGUCUUAUAGUACUGUUCUUGUCACUUAGCUGAACCAAUUGCUCUAUAGCAUGAAAUUUCCAGAAAUGCGCCAGGGACUGAAAAGUGCUGUUUUAACAGAGAGGUGUCCUAAACUGAGAAGUCGAGUUGA